RNAcentral lists this long non-coding RNA (184 nucleotides) under Mustela putorius furo (domestic ferret). RNAcentral describes it as "lncRNA (ENSMPUG00000026791.1)". The record is from RNAcentral. Lineage: Eukaryota; Metazoa; Chordata; Mammalia; Carnivora; Mustelidae.
AAAAAAAGCACUGCAUAAAGGAGUUGAGCUUGGAAGACGUUUUUAUGAGGGUGGAGCUGAAUGGAAACGAAAUCUGAGAAACUGGAGUGCAAAACUGAAUUUAUUUGGGGUCUGAGAAGUUGAAAAGAAUGGGGUCAAAGCCUUAACCAUGCUUGCAGCCCAGCAUGAUUAAACUGAAGCAUCC